AGAAGUCACUAUAGCAUUAAAACACAGCAGGGUGGGAGAAAUAAAAGGAAAACAAUAAAAACAAUGGCCCUUAAAAACCCAAGAGAAUGCCUCCUUUGGAAGUGUGUACUUUCUUAUUCAGAAAAGGUAUCACCUUAAUAAGAAUUAUAGGCAAAGAGGUUUCACUGUUCCAUGCUGUGUGGACGAAAAGAGGGAGAAAAGACUGACUUAUCAAAGGCACUGGCAGUUAUGAAAGACCUGAAGCAUACUCCAGUGAUCAGUUAGUGGAGAAUUAACUUCUGGAACAGUCUCAAAGAUUUUUCUUGAAAAAAAUGGCAAGAAAGGGAAGUGAGAUGGGUAUUUCAGCUAUCUUCUGGAGAUCAUCAAGCACAUGCCUUGUAAAAGAAGUCUUUUCAUUAUGUCAGCAAAGAAAUCUGCAAGAAAGAAAGUUACCUUUGACAGAGAUUUUAUGAAGACCUUCCAUGUCAGCAGGCACCUACCUGGAGCCAGAGUUAGAGUUAGACCCAACACCAUAGGCACACCUGAGUUGCCUGGAAAUCAGAUGAAGCUCAAAAGGCAAACUGGUCGUCUUCAGGAGCUAAUUUGACGGGAAAAGCUCUUCAAGAAACAGCUAGCCACUACAGAAGAAAACAUCUCCCAGAAAUAAAAAAUCCACCUCUUUUAUAUACUCAAAGAUUGUCUUAGUUUCCACAUUUAUUCUAAAUAAUAUUUUUUAGUAUAAAAUUACAUUGGAACAGUCUUGUUAGCUAUAUAUAUUCUCUUUAAAUCUUG
RNAcentral lists this long non-coding RNA (771 nucleotides) under Gallus gallus (chicken). RNAcentral describes it as "lncRNA (ENSGALG00010018392.1)". Lineage: Eukaryota; Metazoa; Chordata; Aves; Galliformes; Phasianidae. The record is from RNAcentral.